UGGGAGGCACCCAGCGUUCAGCACAUUAGC
Molecule: non-coding RNA, 30 nt
Filed under: Homo sapiens (human)
Lineage: Eukaryota; Metazoa; Chordata; Mammalia; Primates; Hominidae
Source: RNAcentral